AUUGAACGCUGGCGGCAGGCCUAACACAUGCAAGUCGAACGAGUGGCGGACGGGUGAGUGAUGUCUGGGAAACUGCCUGAUGGCGGGUGAUACCUACUGGAAACGGUAGCUAAUACCGCAUACCAUCAGAUGUGCCCAGAUGGGAUUAGCUUGUUGGUGGGGUAACGGCGCACAAAGGCGACGAUCCCUAGCUGGUCUGAGAGGAUGACCAGCCACACUGGAACUGCGACACGGUCAGGACUCCUACGGGAGGCAGCAUUGGGGAAGAUUGCACAAUGGGCGCAAGCCUGAUGCAGCCAGGCCGCGUGGAUGAAGAAGGCCUGCGGGUUGUAAAGUACGUUCAGCGGGGAGGCGGUACCCGCAGAAGAAGCACCGGCUAACUCCGUGCCAGCAGCCGCGGUAAUUC
This 406-nucleotide ribosomal RNA is filed under the name uncultured bacterium. RNAcentral describes it as "partial 16S ribosomal RNA". It matches the Rfam family "Bacterial small subunit ribosomal RNA", at positions 29 to 526 of the family's 1533-position model. The record is from RNAcentral.